AGCGAGUUGGAGAAGAUGGUUACCUCGGCAGUCUCAUAAGCUGCAGACUUCGGUUCGAGUCCGGAACGCGCUACAA
This 76-nucleotide transfer RNA is filed under the name Pedobacter sp. Its description in RNAcentral is "tRNA-Met". It matches the Rfam family "tRNA". From Rfam's summary of the family: Transfer RNA (tRNA) molecules are approximately 80 nucleotides in length. Their secondary structure includes four short double-helical elements and three loops (D, anti-codon, and T loops). Lineage: Bacteria; Pseudomonadati; Bacteroidota; Sphingobacteriia; Sphingobacteriales; Sphingobacteriaceae. The record is from RNAcentral.